CAGCAGCCGCGGUAAUACAGAGGAUGCAAGCAUUAUCCGGAAUGAUUGGGCGUAAAGCGUCUGUAGGUGGCUUUUCAAGUCCGCCGUCAAAUCCCAGGGCUCAACCCUGGACAGGCGGUGGAAACUACCAAGCUGGAGUACGGUAGGGGCAGAGGGAAUUUCUGGUGGAGCGGUGAAAUGCGUAGAGAUGUGGAGGAAUACCGAUGGCGAAGGCAGCCCCCUGGGCCAAUACUGACGCUCAUGCACGAAAGCGUGGGGAGCAAACAGGAUUAGAUACCCCCGUAGUCCCUGUCUCUUAUAC
Molecule: ribosomal RNA, 301 nt
Filed under: uncultured bacterium
Lineage: Bacteria
Description: partial 16S ribosomal RNA
Rfam family: Bacterial small subunit ribosomal RNA
Source: RNAcentral